GAAUGCUGACAUAAGUAACGAUAAAGCGGGUGAAAAGCCCGCUCGCCGGAAGACCAAGGGUUCCUGUCCAACGUUAAUCGGGGCAGGGUGAGUCGACCCCUAAGGCGAGGCCGAAAGGCGUAGUCGAUGGGAAACAGGUUAAUAUUCCUGUACUUGGUGUUACUGCGAAGGGGGGACGGAGAAGGCUAUGUUGGCCGGGCGACGGUUGUCCCGGUUUAAGCGUGUAGGCUGGUUUUCCAGGCAAAUCCGGAAAAUCAAGGCUGAGGCGUGAUGACGAGGCACUACGGUGCUGAAGCGACAAAUGCCCUGCUUCCAGGAAAAGCCUCUAAGCAUCAGGUAACAUCAAAUCGUACCCCAAACCGACACAGGUGGUCAGGUAGAGAAUACCAAGGCGCUUGAGAGAACUCGGGUGAAGGAACUAGGCAAAAUGGUGCCGUAACUUCGGGAGAAGGCACGCUGAUAUGUAGGUGAAGCGACUUGCUCGUGGAGCUGAAAUCAGUCGAAGAUACCAGCUGGCUGCAACUGUUUAUUAAAAACACAGCACUGUGCAAACACGAAAGUGGACGUAUACGGUGUGACGCCUGCCCGGUGCCGGAAGGUUAAUUGAUGGGGUUAGCGGUAACGCGAAGCUCUUGAUCGAAGCCCCGGUAAACGGCGGCCGUAACUAUAACGGUCCUAAGGUAGCGAAAUUCCUUGUCGGGUAAGUUCCGACCUGCACGAAUGGCGUAAUGAUGGCCAGGCUGUCUCCACCCGAGACUCAGUGAAAUUGAACUCGCUGUGAAGAUGCAGUGUACCCGCGGCAAGACGGAAAGACCCCGUGAACCUUUACUAUAGCUUGACACUGAACAUUGAGCCUUGAUGUGUAGGAUAGGUGGGAGGCUUUGAAGUGUGGACGCCAGUCUGCAUGGAGCCGACCUUGAAAUACCACCCUUUAAUGUUUGAUGUUCUAACGUGGGCCCCUUACCGGGGUUGCGGACAGUGUCUGGUGGGUAGUUUGACUGGGGCGGUCUCCUCCUAAAGAGUAACGGAGGAGCACGAAGGUUGGCUAAUCCUGGUCGGACAUCAGGAGGUUAGUGCAAUGGCAUAAGCCAGCUUGACUGCGAGCGUGACGGCGCGAGCAGGUGCGAAAGCAGGUCAUAGUGAUCCGGUGGUUCUGAAUGGAAGGGCCAUCGCUCAACGGAUAAAAGGUACUCCGGGGAUAACAGGCUGAUACCGCCCAAGAGUUCAUAUCGACGGCGGUGUUUGGCACCUCGAUGUCGGCUCAUCACAUCCUGGGGCUGAAGUAGGUCCCAAGGGUAUGGCUGUUCGCCAUUUAAAGUGGUACGCGAGCUGGGUUUAGAACGUCGUGAGACAGUUCGGUCCCUAUCUGCCGUGGGCGCUGGAGAACUGAGGGGGGCUGCUCCUAGUACGAGAGGACCGGAGUGGACGCAUCACUGGUGUUCGGGUUGUCAUGCCAAUGGCACUGCCCGGUAGCUAAAUGCGGAAGAGAUAAGUGCUGAAAGCAUCUAAGCACGAAACUUGCCCCGAGAUGAGUUCUCCCUGACUCCUUGAGAGUCCUGAAGGAACGUUGAAGACGACGACGUUGAU
This 1587-nucleotide ribosomal RNA is filed under the name Escherichia coli. RNAcentral's name for it is "partial 23S ribosomal RNA". It matches the Rfam family "Bacterial large subunit ribosomal RNA", at positions 1292 to 2857 of the family's 2925-position model. The record is from RNAcentral. RNAcentral also lists the same sequence under 1 other name. Lineage: Bacteria; Pseudomonadati; Pseudomonadota; Gammaproteobacteria; Enterobacterales; Enterobacteriaceae.